Catharus ustulatus (Swainson's thrush) is the source of this 7214-nucleotide long non-coding RNA. RefSeq lists it as uncharacterized. The transcript is spliced from 3 exons. Lineage: Eukaryota; Metazoa; Chordata; Aves; Passeriformes; Turdidae. The record is from RefSeq and is a predicted model, not a curated record.
GACAGCAACAUUGUUGAGGCACCGGAAGUGCGGCUUAUAAUCCGUGCGGCUUGUAUUCGUGAAACUACUGUAAUUUUGGAUGUUUUGUGUGAAAGCUUACUGUUUCUUGAGAAUCAUAUGGAAAUUUUACUAAUCAGGCCUGGGUGGGGUGGGAGGAGUGGGAAGAAUAGAAUACUGACAUUUUUCUAUUAACUCAUCAUGAAAUAAACUUAAACAGCCUGUGCCUUGAAUGCAUUGUGUGUGAAGAAAACUAUGAAAAAUAAACUUAAUUAUAUGUAGCCUAACUGUAAACAAAAUAAUAUUCCAACAAUACACACUGUGCUUUUAAGGCCUUACACGAUUUAACAGUUCUGCUUGUUUUUUGUGAUUGUGACUAUUGUAUACUUAAAUGUAGCUUUGAGUAUUGUGAAAAUAUGGUUAAGGUGUGUUGAUUAACAGUAAACAAUAUUCCACAAACUUGCAGUUCUUCCUUUUUCUUUUUAUUCAAAGAAAUAGCAGCAGUUGCUUACAGUAUCAAAAUACUUAACAAUUCCCCAUUUGUUUAAGGAAAUCUCACAUCUAAAGCAAUAACUCACUGUUCUGAAUUGCCAGCACAUUUCUUUAUCAGCAGCCCCUGUUCUGAUCACCCUCCCACUUCCAUGCCUCACCUUUCUACCAUUUGCCAUUCAGCACACAGGCUUUCUGCUGCAAAGCUGCUUGUAAACUUUUCUUCUGUAAUUUAUUCUACUAUUCCCUUCUUUGAAAUUAAAAGGAAUUUUUGCCUUGUGCACUUUGACGAAUUAAUUGAGUAUUAAAAAUUUUUGUUCUCAAGCACCUAGGUUCCUGUUUGAUUUGUUUUGAUCAAGGAUGCUUCCGUGAAUUCUGAAAUUCAGAGCAUAUUCAGAAACAGCAACAUUAGACUUAAGGGUUUCCAUCCUAGUUUGAGACUUUUGGAUACAGUUACAUAACUCAGCUUUAUAACAUUGUAUUUAAUACAUAGUUUGAUUUCCUUUUCUUACUGCCUUCUAGCUGCUAUCUGAGAUGCAAAUCUUUACCAUUAAACGUUUAAGUGCUUUCUUUGUGAUGAAUGAAGCUUGUUCUGAGAUUCACUUUCAGGAAUUCACAAAUAAAGAGUGUAGAAGUGCAAUGUUAAGUGAUGCUUAUUGGCUGUGGUUGGUUGCCUGCCCAUCGCAGGCAAGUGAUCAACUGUCAUCACAAGAACUAUCUGAUUGUACUGGGGAUAUUAUGGCACCCUGCAAUUGAAAAAAAGAAAAGGUGUCAUAGCAUUUGAUUCUGUGUUUUGUUGAAGCAGACAAACGAUCUGACUAACAGUGUUUUGUCUUCUGUAUGUGCAGCUGUGCUGGAUUGCACUGGUGAGUAGGGAUUCUGGUCUAUUCAUGCAUGGUUAAUUAUUGCCAGUUUGUGCUAAUUUAUGUUUUAUACCUGUGGUUUUUUUCAGGUGAAUUAUAUACAUGAAGAAAUUGAAAUUGUUUUUAGACAUAGCCUAGCCUGUAGUGCAGAUUGUAUUAUGGCAGCAAACUUGUUAUUUGACAGAAAGCAACUGAGCUGUUGCAACGAUGAGGAAAACAUUUGACAUCCUGAUUGUCUUAUCCUUAUACCAUCGUUUUGGUAAAAUUGACAAUGAGCUGUUGUUUAAUGUUACAUAUGCAAUUGUCUUCUGAUCAAUAAAGUUGAUUCAGCAUUCAUUGAAAAGACAAUGCCUGUGUUUUAGGGAAAAACAAAAGAGUGGAUUGUAAGCCUUGUGGUGUUAUUCCUUGUUAGUUUUUUUUGCUUUAAGUAUUUUACAGUAAGCUAUGUUUUUCGGUUCUGGAAGCCUUGACAAAUCAGUUUUCAAAACGACUUCAAUUAUGUAAAAUAUGUGAUUAUAUUCUAAGGGUGGCAUCUAUUUGCAACAAUGUUUUACUUUUACAGUCACAGCUCUAUAAAACUCCCUUCUCUUUGCUGUCCACUUCUGGUAGAAAAGAAUUCUAGUAUAUGUUCAGGUAGCUACUCUUAUUGAUUGAUUUUAAACUUGCUUUCUUUUUCAAGAUUUUUUUUUAAUUGGGGGGAAAAUAUGCAUGUUUAUUUUUGGGCUUGUUUAAUUGGGUGACAUUGGACAACAAGGUGCUACUUGUAUGGAAUAUUCCAGGUCCUACAGAUACUAAUUUUUCUCACUAUACUGUAGGCAUUGUUAAUAUCUUAAAGUCAGAAAUAAGGAAAAUAAUGUGUAAGUAGGGGGCUGAUUGGUUGAAAACUUUGCAGAAAAGGAGUUGGGGACUCUGCUGAGACAGGCUGCACGUGAGCCUGCAAUGCACCCUUAUGCCAAAAGCGAGCAUGAGCAUUCCAGGUCUCAUAGGCAGAGAUUUACCAGCAGGACAUGGAAAGUGAUCCUAGCCCUCUUCUCUGCACUAUGAAUGAAAUGCUGGGUCUAGCUCGGGUCUUUUUCAUGAGGAAGAUAUGGAUGUACUGAACGAAGUUUACUGCAGGCCCACAGCUAUGACUGAAAGACUGGUGAUCAAGCGCAGGAAGAGAUGCUAAGAGAGCUGGGGCUGUUCAUCCUGGGGAAGAAAAGGUUUGGCAGGAUACUAAGUGUUGUGUGUGAAUAUCUGAGACAGGGUGUGGAGAGAGCUGGACAACUGGAACAUUUGCCCUGUACUGCCUUCUGAGAGGGCAGGAGUCAGUGAUGACACACUGAAAAACAGAAAAUAUUAUCUGAAAUUAGAAGGCUUUUUUGGUUUUUUGUGAAGUAAAUCAAACACUGGGACUGACUAUAGAAUUUUCAUCUUUACAGACAGUCAGAAUUCAGCUGAGCAUGGCUUUGGGCAGCCUGCUGUAACUGACCCUUCUCUGAGCACAGAAGUAGAUAAUCUCAAGGGGUUCCUUACACCUCUGUCAUUCUGCAUGCACGAGCUCAGAAGUGGAGACUGUUUAUUUUUUAAAAUUAUCUUCAUUGUUGUUCCUUAUUUUUGAUUGCAACAGAAGAUCCCUUUUUCUCUGUCCUGAGACCAUCACUGGUUGAUGCGCUGCUGCUAAGUCAGACUAGUACCAACUUUUAUAUGACAGUGACAUAGACAGUGUCAUCAAAGAUCACAGAUUGCUACAGUGUACUAUAAAAGAAAGGUUGAAAAACUAGAAGCAGCAUAUAAGCAUGCUAUCCUGAAAAGAGAAAAAGUGCUUGAGAUAUGGUUGUUUUGGGUAGUUUCAAUAAAAUUGGGUAAUAAAGUUGGUUCUGCUUCACCUGAUUAGUGUUUGUAAAACAGAAAUUAAAAAUUGUUUCUGGGUAAGUUUGUCAUGAGCUAGUAACUAUGUCAGGCUUGCUCACCAUUACUUAAAUAGUUCAGGUAACUCUAAUUGUUAAAAGUUAGUGUGAAAACCUAUUCAGCUUGAGUACCAAAAUCAUUCUGAUUUUGCCCAAAAUAUUUCCAAAAAAGUCUGCUAGGUCUAUUUGGUAGAUGCUGCACACUCUUCAAAACAGGAAAGGAACUCUCUGGUCUCUGGUUUAAAACAGCCUCCCAGGAUGGUGCUGUUUUGUUAUGUUGAUUGAAGUGGUUUAAUUCAUUAGAAAAACAUUCACAAAAGAUUUUGAUGGUAAAAUCUAAGUGCUGAUGAGACAUUGCAGUUUUCAGACCUUUCUUCUUCUCAAGAUGAUACUAGUUAAAUACAUAUUUCUUUAUUUUGUAUUUGCACUAGUGUAUCAUAGUGUGCUGCAUAGAGAAAAGCGAAGUAAUGCAUGCCUUACUUACCAGAAUUGUUUGUGUUGUAUCAGAAUUAUUUUUGUGUUGUAGUACCAUUUAUAGUUAGCAACAAGCUUUAAUGAAAAUUUCUUCCUGUCAGAGAUUUUGGGGCCUCCAAAGUGGUGGAACACAAACUACAUGCUUGGAGCCAGAACAGGAGGGUAGAUAAAAAUUGCAGACUUGAAAAAAUGUAUGAGUUCCUAUUCUGCUGUGUUUGUAGAGCCCAGCACUGUCUGAGUUUGCCCAUCAUAGCAGGUGUGUAACAGAUACCCUGUAAUUUUAUUACUUAGGAUAGGAUUCUGAAACAGAAAGAAUUUGUUUUUAAGACAACCUGAAGGAGAAGGCUCUGGAAUGAGCUGUCUUCCUUUAUAGAUCCAGCCAAGUGCUUUCCACCAAUAAGCAAUGGAUAUAAGUAGAUGUAAGUGAAAAGGUAAGUUUACUGACAACGGGGACUGCAACAGUCAAGAAAUUACAGGAAAAGAAAAAAAAACAAAAAACCGAGAUGCAAAACUGCUAAACCUCACGGACUCCACAGAACAGAGAGACCCAAAAUGCCGGGAGAGCCCCCCAGGAUAACGCUCCACAGCCAAGCGCGUGGUUCGAAGGACAAAGGGAGAGGUGGUGCCAGUCUUCCCCCACCAUCCUCGUGCACUCGGCUGUCUCCAGCUUUGGCUCCCCGGCUGGAGUUCAUGUAGAUCAAAGGCUGGAAAACUGCAGAAGGACUCCCCCUUUCUUUCGGCAGGAGCAGUGAAGGCAAGGUGUAUGGGCUCGAGCGACUUCUCUCCUGGAGCGGGGACCGAUGGAUCUGGACCAGCUUGCAGGAGCGGGGCCGCCCCCACCCGAUGCGGCAAUACAGGCGGCGCGGGUGGCAUUCGCCUCCUGGCACCUCGAAACUGCCAGCUGCAGACUCUCCAAAACGAGAGGAAAAAGCUGAACGAGAAUCCCAAAAAGAAGCGGCUCUGCUUGGGCAGAGACCAGGAAGUCAGCGAGCCAAAACCCACAUGGCAAGAGGGGAUGAACUGCUUGUGAAAACCGACUUUAAAAGCACUUAGUAGCACCCCCUGCCCCAGCUUCUCGGCUUCAGGGUCAGAGAGACCCCGUAGAGGAGCAAUUUUGGGCACAAAUAGACACGGAAUACAGCAACAUUUUGGGUUACCGAUGGCAAAUUGAGUAAUCUAGCAUGGUACGUAGGAUGGUACGUAGACUGUAUUUUAUGUCCUUCUUUGUAAUCACAAAGUCUUCAGGGUCCUGUUUCAAGGAAAAGGUGAGAUUCACUUGUCAGUAAUUAGAGCUCUUCAGAGACAUAUGAUAUCACAAGGCAUGAUAAAACCACAAGGACUGGCAAUUCUGAAUAUGCAGUCCAGAAGCAACUCGAGUUAUGCAGCUGUUCUGAGUCCCACUGUCUCUGUGGCAUGUGAAGAUGGGGCCAUAAGAAUGUGCAUGUUUAAUGGAUUUGGUGAACAGUUCUGCUGCUAUCUUGCCCAACUAUGCUUCAGUAGAUUUCAUGAUUUUUCGUGGUAGAGGAAGUGCUCCCUCAUUAAUCAUUUAGUUGUCCUAUGGUAUGUCUUGUUUGGAAUGUAGUGCACUCUUGGCGUGCACUAAGAGACUGCAUUACUGAAAAUAUGUGCUCAUGCUUUCAAGUAAUCUGAUAAAAAGAGACACAGUAUGUAUUAUCUAUAGAAAAAAUAGUGCAUAAAUAUAUAAUCUAACCAUUGCUAUAUUUUAUGGAGCAGUAUUUCUACAUACACAUUUAUUACCUUUUGAGACCAUUAGUGUAGAAUUGGAUAUAAUAUAGGAUAUUAUGGGAUGCAGAUGCUGAUACUGUUUUUGUGAUAGAAUAUUUUUUAAAAUAUCCUAUUAGAAGAAACCAUGGCUCCAAAGCAUUUAGAUUUUUUUAGCAUAGUUAAAGCAGUGUAACCAGGUACUAGCAAAUAUUUUCAGAACUAGUUUAAAUGGUCAUCUUUAACUUGUUUGUAAAGUUUUCUGAUAUUUACUAUAAUACUUUGAUGUGAUAUUUUUGACCAAAAGAAAAGUUGCAUAUACGUUGACAAUUCCGGUACUGAUCCUUUCUUUUAACUUCAGUAAAUUUCUAGGAGGAAGAAAACAUUAAGUGUCAUGGGUAUCUACAUUGCUUUUUUUUGACUACACUUUACUGUGACUGAUAAUUUCAUGUGCCACUGUGAGUCUUGAAACACCUAGGUUAAUGAUUUUUUGAAAAGUGCAGCAGCAGAGAAGCAACUAAUUUAAUAAUGUCAGACUUCAAAGGCUCUUGAUCAUUAAGUUGUAGGUUGCCAUAUUGCUCAUUGUGAUGUUUUCUCCUGUAAAAAUACUCAAAUUGCACCAAUUACCACCUCCUGAUGUGGCCAGUCUUCCCUUGAGUUUAGAUUGUUCCUUAGCUUCAAACACCCAUUUCUUCCUGCAGGCUCUUUGCUGUCCCUUGCACUCUUGUCUAGCUGCCCCUAGCUGUCCUAGUCUCAGUGCUUCCCAAGCCCAUCUCAGAAAUCUUCCAGCCUGCACCCAGGAGUGGGUGAGGGUCCAUGGACUGCGCACCACAUUCUGCAUUUCAGUGGCACAGAGAAGGGACUUGCUACAGCAAAUGUUCAGAUAUUCCUGAUUUCGUAAGGGAGGUUGGCUGCCAAGUAGCUGGAAGGCCAGAGGAAACAGAACACUACACAAGCAUGUGUCUGCUUCUAAGUAUUUAUCUUCCAUCUUGUUGUGGGAAAAGAAAAUAGCAGGAAAGGGAGGAUGUGGAAAACAGGACAUUCCACUGGGGAAAAAGGAAAAAGGUUAAGGUAAAUGUUUGGCUUGGUGAAGGCACAGAGAUGGAUUUGCAGAUCAGAUGAGAGGAGUUUGUGGUUAGGAAAGUGGACAGCAAAACCAACAGAAUGAGACAGAAAAAGGGUAGAUGUUAGGAGAAUUGAAAGAUUUUGACAGAACUAGGCAAAAUGUGGAAAAGGAAAAAUGAGAAGAAAAUACAAAAGGAGGUUAAAGCUUUUGUCUUUUCAAAAUAAAAUAUUUUUUGAAAGAAAAAUGUAACUAAUCCAAAUGGGAGUGGAGCAAUUAGUGGAUGGAGAAGUGCCAAAUAUAAUGAAAAAUAGGGAGAGAAAGAAGGAAAAUGUAAAAAUUAGAGGAAGUGGAAAAGGGGAGGGGAUACACCCUACAUUACUUCUAUUUUUCCAAUUCCUUUGUUUUAUCAUACAUCCUUGGGACAUCUGUUUAUUGUGAUAAAAGAAUUUAUGUCUAACAAUGGCAUAUCCUCUGCUAUUACUCACUGAUACUGUUACUGUACCAGAGCUAGACCGGUGACCUCCAAAAGUUUUUUUCAUUGUGCAAUAAGACCUUUUUGAACAUGCACCCACAACGGAGGCAUAUAUAUUUGUUUGUAAGUUGUAUACAUGUACAAUUCUAAUAAUGUAUUAUGCACAUUAUAAAAAAUUACCAAAAUAGGAAUUAAAACAAUGUGAGAUAAAGAGGAAAUAAACACAAUUUUGAAAAUUUUAA